RNAcentral lists this ribosomal RNA (253 nucleotides) under uncultured bacterium. RNAcentral describes it as "partial 16S ribosomal RNA". It matches the Rfam family "Bacterial small subunit ribosomal RNA", at positions 524 to 776 of the family's 1533-position model. The record is from RNAcentral.
UACAGAGGGUGCAAGCGUUAAUCGGAAUUACUGGGCGUAAAGCGCGCGCAGGCGGUCCUUUAAGUCUGAUGUGAAAUCCCACGGCUCAACCGUGGAAGGUCAUUGGAAACUGGGGGACUUGAGUACAGAAGAGGAAAGCGGAAUUCCAAGUGUAGCGGUGAAAUGCGUAGAGAUUUGGAGGAACACCAGUGGCGAAGGCGGCUUUCUGGUCUGUAACUGACGCUGAGGCGCGAAAGCGUGGGGAGCAAACAGG